GAUGAACGCUGGCGGCGUGCCUAAUACGUGCAAGUCGAGCGAACAGAUGAGAAGCUUGCUUCUCUGAUGUUAGCGGCGGACGGGUGAGUAACACGUGGGUAAACUACCUAUAAGACUGGGAUAACUCCGGGAAACCGGGGCUAAUACAGGAUAAUAUUUUGAACCGCCUGGUUCAAUAGUGAAAGAAGGUUUCGGCUGUCACUUAUAGAUGGACCUGCGCCGUAUUAGCUAGUUGGGAAGGUAACGGCUUACCACGGCGACGAUACGUAGCCGACCUGAGAGGGUGAUCGGCUACACUGGAACUGAGACACGGUCCAGACUCCUACGGGAGGCAGCAGUGGGGAAUCUUCCGCAAUGGGCGAAAGCCUGACGGAGCAACGCCGCGUGAGUGAUGAAGGUCUUCGGAUCGUAAAACUCUGUUGUUAGGGAAGAACAAAUUUGUUAGUAACUGAACAAGUCUUGACGGUACCUAACCAGAAAGCCACGGCUAACUACGUGCCAGCCGCCGCAGUAA
This 514-nucleotide ribosomal RNA is filed under the name uncultured bacterium. RNAcentral describes it as "partial 16S ribosomal RNA". It matches the Rfam family "Bacterial small subunit ribosomal RNA", at positions 28 to 523 of the family's 1533-position model. The record is from RNAcentral.